This 532-nucleotide ribosomal RNA is filed under the name uncultured bacterium. RNAcentral's name for it is "bacterial SSU rRNA". It matches the Rfam family "Bacterial small subunit ribosomal RNA", at positions 777 to 1308 of the family's 1533-position model. The record is from RNAcentral.
AAUAGAUACCCAGGUAGUCCACGCCGUAAACGGUGGGCGCUAGGUGUGGGGGGCUUUCCACGUCCUCUGUGCCGCAGCUAACGCAUUAAGCGCCCCGCCUGGGGAGUACGGCCGCAAGGCUAAAACUCAAAGGAAUUGACGGGGGCCCGCACAAGCGGCGGAGCAUGUGGCUUAAUUCGACGCAACGCGAAGAACCUUACCAAGGCUUGACAUGCAGGGAAAUCUCGUAGAGAUACGGGGUCCGCAAGGGCUCUGCACAGGUGGUGCAUGGUUGUCGUCAGCUCGUGUCGUGAGAUGUUGGGUUAAGUCCCGCAACGAGCGCAACCCUUGUCCUAUGUUGCCAGCGAGUAAUGUCGGGGACUCAUAGGAGACUGCCGGGGUCAACUCGGAGGAAGGUGGGGAUGACGUCAAGUCAUCAUGCCCCUUAUGUCUUGGGCUGCACACAUGCUACAAUGGUCGGUACAAAGGGCUGCGAGACCGCAAGGUGGAGCGAAUCCCGAAAAAGCCGGCCUCAGUUCGGAUUGGGGUCUGA